RNAcentral lists this long non-coding RNA (428 nucleotides) under Ananas comosus (pineapple). Its description in RNAcentral is "long non-coding RNA (ACOM_LNC031669)". The record is from RNAcentral. Lineage: Eukaryota; Viridiplantae; Streptophyta; Magnoliopsida; Poales; Bromeliaceae.
AAUCGACGAUCGGCUCCGUUAGACUUGAUCUACACUAUAAAAAAUAUUUGGAAACUAAAUUUUAUAAUUUUUCGGUAUCAUUUACCUAUCAAACAAGUAGUCUAAAAAUGAACGGCUGUGAAUAAAAAUCUCAUAGAAAAUGAUGAUAAAAGACUUGAAUUUAAGAUCAGAGAUAUUGAUCUUAGUCUAAAUAGUCAAAAGAAUUUUCUAUAAAAAUUUCAUCAGAUUUGGAUUGUUUUACACUGUUAAAUUUACAAAUGUAUCACAUCUACCAUUAAAAUUGUCAAUUUUAAGACCUUUUGAUCACUAGCCAAAUGAUGUCGAAAAAUUAUGAAAUUUAGUUUCUAACUACUUUCAAUAGAGUAGAUCAAGUCUAACGGAGCCGAUCGUCGAUUUGGAAGCCGCAUCAUUGAAAACAACUUGGUAGC